GUAGGGAAUCUUCCACAAUGGGCGCAAGCCUGAUGGAGCAACACCGCGUGAGUGAAGAAGGGUUUCGGCUCGUAAAGCUCUGUUGUUAAAGAAGAACACGUAUGAGAGUAACUGUUCAUACGUUGACGGUAUUUAACCAGAAAGUCACGGCUAACUACGUGCCAGCAGCCGCGGUAAUACGUAGGUGGCAAGCGUUAUCCGGAUUUAUUGGGCGUAAAGAGAGUGCAGGCGGUUUUCUAAGUCUGAUGUGAAAGCCUUCGGCUUAACCGGAGAAGUGCAUCGGAAACUGGAUAAGUUGAGUGCAGAAGAGGGUAGUGGAACUCCAUGUGUAGCGGUGGAAUGCGUAGAUAUAUGGAAGAACACCAGUGGCGAAGGCGGCUACCUGGUCUGCAACUGACGCUGAGACUCGAAAGCAUGGGUAGCGAACAGGAUUAGAAACCCUGGUAGUCC
Molecule: ribosomal RNA, 450 nt
Filed under: uncultured bacterium
Lineage: Bacteria
Description: partial 16S ribosomal RNA
Rfam family: Bacterial small subunit ribosomal RNA
Source: RNAcentral